GCUUUGGACCGCUCGAAAUCGCC
Molecule: non-coding RNA, 23 nt
Filed under: Arabidopsis thaliana (thale cress)
Lineage: Eukaryota; Viridiplantae; Streptophyta; Magnoliopsida; Brassicales; Brassicaceae
Source: RNAcentral